GGAUUCAGGGUGUCCAAAUCAGGACAGUGACAAGGGGUGCUCCCAGGAUGAUGGAAAAUGCAAGUGACCAGCCCAAAUGAAAGAAGGAGGACAGGAGGGAGGUCUGUGAGAAAAAAUGGAAUGGGCAGAUUAUCUGAGUUGCUUGGCGUAUGGAAAUUUUAAAAGGCUGCUGGAAGUUCUAAGAAAAGUUAUUGUUAGAUAUCCAGAAUACUAAGCAAAUUAAAAAAUAAAAAGUUGUCCGAGAAGAGACGCAUAUCUUGGUACACUGGCUCCGGGGAAUACAAAUCCUAUAAUCAUAAUAAAGUAAACAUUAAGUGUUAACUAAAGCAAGGGUUACAACUACAUGGAGCAGAAGAGGAAACAGGAAGUGCUUUUAAAAAGCCGACUUCUCAUUCUUCCCGCUGGUCAAUCGAUGAUGGGGAAACUGACAAAUGGAACUGACAUAGCAUCUAAGCUUGUUCUUUGGACAAAUGAAGUUAAAUACCAGAAAAAAAGUACAAAAGAGAGGUCGUGGUUGCCUCUGAGCAGAAGAGGAGCUGUUUUUUUUUUUUUUGGUUAAAGGUGUAUUUAGUACAAUUUGAGUCAAACUAAGAGCAAUCAUUACAUGGAGAAAAAUAACGACGAGGUUUAAAAAUUCUGCAUCUCAAGUAUGGACAGUUCGCAUGGACCCCGUCACCAUCAGCCAGUGUGACCAGAAGAAAAUCGCGGAAAGGAGCCUGGCCGCUGGGCAGGAGCAGGAGGGACCGAGGCUUGGGCUCUGGGUGGCCAGAUCUUCGAAGCACAUAGAGGACUGCAGGAUACAGAGAGACCGGGUCACAGGGCCCGGGACAAAGGCCCGGCCUCAAAGCGCGUGCGCUGGAGGACCGUCCUCAGAGAGCUGGGAUUUUAGAAGGUUAGAGCCUCUCUCUGGGAUUCUUCUCCGAGGCCCUGCGUGGAAGUCUUCAUCCUCCGUGACUCCUGUAGCGUUGGAAGUAUUUGACACUGUUGACCAUUCUCCCUCCUUGAACCGCUCCCUUCCCCUGGCGUUGGGCACCAGGGUCUGCGGGCUCCCCCCCUGCUUCCUGAGCAACUCUUUCUCCUUCACUCAUUCCUCUUCUGCGUGACAAAUGUGGGUUUCCCCUCGAGUUUA
Molecule: long non-coding RNA, 1129 nt
Filed under: Equus asinus (donkey)
Lineage: Eukaryota; Metazoa; Chordata; Mammalia; Perissodactyla; Equidae
Description: lncRNA (ENSEASG00005024633.1)
Source: RNAcentral